Molecule: unclassified non-coding RNA, 249 nt
Filed under: Glomus sp.
Lineage: Eukaryota; Fungi; Glomeromycota; Glomeromycetes; Glomerales; Glomeraceae
Description: partial contains 5.8S ribosomal RNA and internal transcribed spacer 2
Rfam family: 5.8S ribosomal RNA (bases 1-71)
Source: RNAcentral
GUGAAUCAUCGAAUUUUUGAACGCAAAUUGCACUUUCUGGUAUUCCGGAAAGUAUACCUGUUUGAGGAUCAGUUAAAUAAAAAUCGGUGUUGUUGCUGCCUUUCGAGGUGACGCGUAGGAAUUGGGUCGGCUUACCCUCGGUUAUGGGACUUAAAAUUUUGGCAUGAUUUGCGAACGUAUGUAAAUCGUUUACAUACGUUUGAGGUAUCGAAUGCUUCUUAGGUUCGGUCAUUCCCAUGAUUGGCUCCG